This 484-nucleotide ribosomal RNA is filed under the name uncultured bacterium. RNAcentral describes it as "partial 16S ribosomal RNA". It matches the Rfam family "Bacterial small subunit ribosomal RNA", at positions 36 to 507 of the family's 1533-position model. The record is from RNAcentral.
CUUUCCCUCUUUCUUCCUGCUUUCCCCCUGCACGUCGACCGGCAGCACGGGGGCAGCCCUGGUGGCGAGUGGCGAACGGGUGAGUAAUACAUCGGAACGUGCCCUGUCGUGGGGGAUAACGUAGCGAAAGUUACGCUAAUACCGCAUACGAUCUGAGGAUGAAAGCGGGGGACCUUCGGGCCUCGCGCGAUCGGAGCGGCCGAUGUCAGAUUAGGUAGUUGGUGGGGUAAAGGCCUACCAAGCCGACGAUCUGUAGCUGGUCUGAGAGGACGACCAGCCACACUGGGACUGAGACACGGCCCAGACUCCUACGGGAGGCAGCAGUGGGGAAUUUUGGACAAUGGGCGCAAGCCUGAUCCAGCCAUUCCGCGUGCAGGACGAAGGCCUUCGGGUUGUAAACUGCUUUGGUACGGAACGAAAAGGCUCUGGCUAAUACCUGGGGCUCAUGACGGUACCGUAAGAAUAAGCACCGGCUAACUACGUG